AUACGUAGGGGGCGAGCGUUGUCCGGAAUGAUUGGGCGUAAAGGGCGCGUAGGCGGCCUGUUAAGUCUGGAGUGAAAGUCCUGUUUUCAAGAUGGGAAUUGCUUUGGAUACUGAUGGGCUUGAGUGCAGGAGGGGUUAUCGGAAUUCCCGGUGUAGCGGUGAAAUGCGUAGAGAUUGGGAGGAACACCAGUGGCGAAGGCGACUUACUGGACUGUAACUGACGCUGAGGCGCGAAAGUGUGGGGAGCAAACAGGAUUAGAUACCCGGAUAGUCCACACUGUAAACGAUGAAUGCUAGGUGUAGGGGGUAUCGACCCCUUCUGUGCCGCAGUCAACACAAUAAGCAUUCCGCCUGGGGAGUACGGCCGCAAGGUUGAAACUCAAAUGAAUUGACGGGG
Molecule: ribosomal RNA, 397 nt
Filed under: uncultured bacterium
Lineage: Bacteria
Description: partial 16S ribosomal RNA
Rfam family: Bacterial small subunit ribosomal RNA
Source: RNAcentral